GCAUUGGAUGGUUCAGUGGUAGAAUUCUUGCCUGCCAGGCGGGAGGCCUGGGUUCGAUUCCCGGCCAAUGCA
Molecule: non-coding RNA, 72 nt
Organism: Psammomys obesus (fat sand rat)
Lineage: Eukaryota; Metazoa; Chordata; Mammalia; Rodentia; Muridae
Source: the annotation of a RefSeq genome assembly